GAUGAACGCUGGCGGCGUGCCUAAUACAUGCAAGUCGAGCGAACAGACGAGGAGCUUGCUCCUCUGACGUUAGCGGCGGACGGGUGAGUAACACGUGGAUAACCUACCUAUAAGACUGGGAUAACUUCGGGAAACCGGAGCCAAUACCGGAUAAUAUAUUGAACCGCAUGGUUCAAUAGUGAAAGACGGUUUUGCUGUCACUUAUAGAUGGAUCCGCGCCGCAUUAGCUAGUUGGUAAGGUAACGGCUUACCAAGGCAACGAUGCGUAGCCGACCUGAGAGGGUGAUCGGCCACAUUGGAACUGAGACACGGUCCAGACUCCUACGGGAGGCAGCAGUAGGGAAUCUUCCGCAAGGGGCGAAAGCCUGACGGAGCAACGCCGCGUGAGGGAUGAAGGUCUUCGGAUCGUAAAACUCUGUUAUUAGGGAAGAACAAAUGUGUAAGUAACUAUGCACGUCUUGACGGUACCUAAUCAGAAAGCCACGGCUAACUACGUG
Molecule: ribosomal RNA, 497 nt
Filed under: uncultured bacterium
Lineage: Bacteria
Description: partial 16S ribosomal RNA
Rfam family: Bacterial small subunit ribosomal RNA
Source: RNAcentral